Molecule: non-coding RNA, 74 nt
Organism: Nerophis lumbriciformis (worm pipefish)
Lineage: Eukaryota; Metazoa; Chordata; Actinopteri; Syngnathiformes; Syngnathidae
Source: the annotation of a RefSeq genome assembly
GGCCGGUUAGCUCAGUUGGUCAUAGCGUGGUGCUAAUAACGCCAAGGUCAUGGAUUCAAUCCCUGUACCAGCCA